This 253-nucleotide ribosomal RNA is filed under the name uncultured bacterium. Its description in RNAcentral is "partial 16S ribosomal RNA". It matches the Rfam family "Bacterial small subunit ribosomal RNA", at positions 524 to 776 of the family's 1533-position model. The record is from RNAcentral.
UACGAAGGGGGGCUAGCGUUGCUCGGAAUCACUGGGCGUAAAGGGCGCGUAGGCGGCGUUUUAAGUCGGGGGUGAAAGCCUGUGGCUCAACCACAGAAUGGCCUUCGAUACUGGGACGCUUGAGUAUGGUAGAGGUUGGUGGAACUGCGAGUGUAGAGGUGAAAUUCGUAGAUAUUCGCAAGAACACCGGUGGCGAAGGCGGCCAACUGGACCAUUACUGACGCUGAGCGCGAAAGCGUGGGGAGCAAACAGG